UAAGGAAUAUUGGUCAAUGGACGGAAGUCUGAACCAGCCAUGCCGCGUGGAGGAUGAAGGUCCUCUGGAUUGUAAACUUCUUUUAUAGGGGGCGAAAAAAGGCCAUUCUUGGUCGUCUGACGGUACCCUAUGAAUAAGCACCGGCUAACUCCGUGCCAGCAGCCGCGGUAAUACGGAGGGUGCAAGCGUUAUCCGGAUUCACUGGGUUUAAAGGGAGCGUAGGCGGGCAUGUAAGUCCGUGGUGAAAGCCCUCAGCUUAACUGAGGAACUGCCAUGGAUACUAUAUGUCUUGAAUGUCGUUGAGGUUUGCGGAAUAGGUCAUGUAGCGGUGAAAUGCUUAGAUAUGACCUGGAACACCUAUUGCGAAGGCAGCAGGCUAAACGAAUAUUGACGCUGAGGCUCGAAAGCGUGGGGAUCAAACAGG
This 424-nucleotide ribosomal RNA is filed under the name uncultured Aurantisolimonas sp. Its description in RNAcentral is "bacterial SSU rRNA". It matches the Rfam family "Bacterial small subunit ribosomal RNA", at positions 355 to 776 of the family's 1533-position model. The record is from RNAcentral. Lineage: Bacteria; Pseudomonadati; Bacteroidota; Chitinophagia; Chitinophagales; Chitinophagaceae.